Molecule: long non-coding RNA, 406 nt
Filed under: Lathyrus oleraceus (garden pea)
Lineage: Eukaryota; Viridiplantae; Streptophyta; Magnoliopsida; Fabales; Fabaceae
Description: Pisum sativum (pea) long non-coding RNA (PSAT_LNC012206)
Source: RNAcentral
UGCCAUGAUCAGAUAUGACACUUAGAUGAUGGGCAAGGGCAGGGGCACGAAGGAGGAUUAGUUUUAUUUUUCUUUCUAUUUUUAGAUUUGUUUUUGUUUUUUCUUUUGAUGAGUUUGAUUUACUUUUAUUUUUGGUUAUUUUUAUGUAUUUCCCAAAACUUUUAGUUUAAUAAUAUAGCAGUUAUAUAGUUAAUUCAUUUUUAUGUUAAUGUUAUUUAAGUGAUGAUGACUAGCAUGAGUGGUUGACUCUGAGCACCUAGAUAAAGUUUGUGUGCCCUAUUCAUGACCAUACCAAUCAAUCAUAAUAUCUAUAAAAUGAUGUGAUGUGGUUUUAUAUAAGUUUAGUGCAAGGGGUGCAUGGUCAUUUUGAAAGCUUGUAAUGUUGCAUCACACGAGGGGCACUGUG